This 614-nucleotide ribosomal RNA is filed under the name Paraburkholderia sp. RNAcentral describes it as "bacterial SSU rRNA". It matches the Rfam family "Bacterial small subunit ribosomal RNA", at positions 423 to 1027 of the family's 1533-position model. The record is from RNAcentral. Lineage: Bacteria; Pseudomonadati; Pseudomonadota; Betaproteobacteria; Burkholderiales; Burkholderiaceae.
UUGUAAAGCACUUUUGUCCGGAAAGAAAACGCUCUGGUUAAUACCCGGGGUGGAUGACGGUACCGGAAGAAUAAGCACCGGCUAACUACGUGCCAGCAGCCCGCGGUAAUACGUAGGGUGCGAGCGUUAAUCGGAAUUACUGGGCGUAAAGCGUGCGCAGGCGGUUCGCUAAGACCGAUGUGAAAUCCCCGGGCUUAACCUGGGAACUGCAUUGGUGACUGGCGGGCUCGAGUAUGGCAGAGGGGGGUAGAAUUCCACGUGUAGCAGUGAAAUGCGUAGAGAUGUGGAGGAAUACCGAUGGCGAAGGCAGCCCCCUGGGCCAAUACUGACGCUCAUGCACGAAAGCGUGGGGAGCAAACAGGAUUAGAUACCCUGGUAGUCCACGCCCUAAACGAUGUCAACUAGUUGUUGGGGAUUCAUUUCCUUAGUAACGAAGCUAACGCGUGAAGUUGACCGCCUGGGGAGUACGGUCGCAAGAUUAAAACUCAAAGGAAUUGACGGGGACCCGCACAAGCGGUGGAUGAUGUGGAUUAAUUCGAUGCAACGCGAAAAACCUUACCUACCCUUGACAUGGACGGAACCCUGGUGAGAGCUGGGGGUGCCCGAAAGGGAGC